RNAcentral lists this ribosomal RNA (371 nucleotides) under uncultured organism. Its description in RNAcentral is "bacterial SSU rRNA". It matches the Rfam family "Bacterial small subunit ribosomal RNA", at positions 526 to 897 of the family's 1533-position model. The record is from RNAcentral.
CGUAGGGUGCGAGCGUUAAUCGGAAUUACUGGGCGUAAAGCGUGCGCAGGCGGUUUUGUAAGACAGAUGUGAAAUCCCCGGGCUCAACCUGGGACCUGCAUUUGUGACUGCGAGGCUAGAGUACGGUAGAGGGGAUGGAAUUCCGCGUGUAGCAGUGAAAUGCGUAGAUAUGCGGAGGAACACCGAUGGCGAAGGCAAUCCCCUGGACCUGUACUGACGCUCAGUGCACGAAAGCGUGGGGAGCAAACAGGAUUAGAUACCCUGGUAGUCCACGCCCUAAACGAUGUCAACUGGUUGUUGGGUCUUUACUGACUCAGUAACGAAGCUAACGCGUGAAGUUGACCGCCUGGGGUGUACGGCCGCAAGGUUAG